Long non-coding RNA from Eupeodes corollae, 520 nucleotides. RefSeq lists it as uncharacterized. The transcript has 3 exons. The record is from RefSeq and is a predicted model, not a curated record. Lineage: Eukaryota; Metazoa; Arthropoda; Insecta; Diptera; Syrphidae.
UUAUAAAAUAACUGACAAAUCUUCUAGGAGAACAAUCUCAUGCUAGAAGGAAUUGUUAUGGUUUCUUAGGUGUUCAAAUCGUAGGCACUAAAAGUCUUAUACUCAAUAGGAAAUUGCAAUGAAGUGGGUUUAUCAUCUGUUGUCGGCUUUUUCCAGUUCAUAAUUAUAGUUUAGGAUGAACCUUAUUCCAUUGACAACACCAAUUCACUAAGAGGCACAACAUUGCACUGAAAGAAUUCAACAAAAGUGCAAUUAAUGACACUAAUCGAUAGAAAACUAUACCUACUCUCCCUGUGGAUAGAUAAGCCAUUACCAUCACGGAAGGAAUAUGUUGACCCACUAAGCUACACACAUGAAGGUACUGUUGAACAUACACUUUCGCUCUUUUAUUUUACCAUAAGGACUAUCUUUCAAUUUUGCAUGUCACAUAGGAACUACUGUUCUGCUGGAUAAUUUAAUAUGCAUUUAAAUUGUGUAUAAUGUAUUAUUUUACUUUUCAAAUUAAAUAAAAGUUUUUUUU